Molecule: long non-coding RNA, 1011 nt
Filed under: Homo sapiens (human)
Lineage: Eukaryota; Metazoa; Chordata; Mammalia; Primates; Hominidae
Description: HSALNT0407470
Source: RNAcentral
AGGCGGGGCAACAAAGCCUGUGGCCGAUGUGGCGCUCCUCGGCCCGCGCUUCAGUGGUUAUGACAGUGUUCGCUCUAAGGGGAGAAGGAAUGUGUGACCAUUUCCAACGGUUAACUUGCAUUCCCCAGAUAGUUUGGAUGAGUUACAACCUAAAUCUGCAAACUCAAUACAGCCAGACCCUGGGAAGUGACUCUCUCCAAGCCUCCUGUAACUUCACCAUAAUACCGGUUAAUGUGAUAAAAACACUGCAUGUAGCCAAUUUUUUUUUUUUUUGAGAUGGAGUUAUUGGCUCUUGUUGCCCAGGCUAGAGUGCAGCGGCGUGAUCUUGGCUCACUGCAACCUCCAUCUCGUGGGUUCAGGUAAUUCUCCUGCCUCAGCCUCCCGAGUGGCUGGGAUUACAGGCACACGCCACCAUGCCCAGCUAAUUUUUUUGUAUUUUUAGUAGAGUCGGGGUUUCACUAUAUGUUGGCCAGGCUGGUCUCGAACUCCUGACCUCAGGUGAUCCGCCUGCCUCAGCCUUCCAAAGUGCUGGGGUUACAGGUGUGAGCCACUGCACCCAGCCAAAUAUUUUCUUAUUUAUUUAUUUAUUUUAGAGACAGGAUGCCAUUAUGUUGCCUAGUUUGGAAUGCAGUGUCUAUUUAGAGGCGUGAUCAUGGCAUACUAUAGCCUCGGCUCAAAGGACCCUGGUCUCAAAGGACCCUGCCACCUUAGCCUCCUGAGUAGCUGGGACAAGUGUGCGCCACCACACCUGGCUAAUUUUUUAAAUUUUUUGUAGAGAUAGUGUCUCGCUAUGUUGCCCACGCUGGUCUGGAAUUCCUGGACUCAAGGCCUCUUCCUGCCCUCAGACUUCCAAAGUGUUAGGAUUACAGGGUGAGUCACCACGCCCAGCCAGUGUGAAUUUUCUAAUGCUGAGUAAGUUGUGAUCCAGAAGUAAAUGUAUCUGCAAGCUGAUUUAAAUUGUAGAUUUUCUCUUCAUUGCAUAUUUUCUGAUGUUGAAUAAAGUCUGAGUAU